UACGUAGGGUCCGAGCGUUGUCCGGAAUUACUGGGCGUAAAGAGCUCGUAGGUGGUUUGUCGCGUUGUUCGUGAAAACUCACAGCUCAACUGUGGGCGUGCGGGCGAUACGGGCAGACUAGAGUACUGCAGGGGAGACUGGAAUUCCUGGCGUAGCGGUGGAAUGCGCAGAUAUCAGGAGGAACACCGGUGGCGAAGGCGGAUCUCUGGGCCAUAACUGACGUGAGGAGCGAAAGCAUGGGGAGCGAACAGG
This 252-nucleotide ribosomal RNA is filed under the name uncultured bacterium. RNAcentral's name for it is "partial 16S ribosomal RNA". It matches the Rfam family "Bacterial small subunit ribosomal RNA", at positions 524 to 776 of the family's 1533-position model. The record is from RNAcentral.